RNAcentral lists this ribosomal RNA (468 nucleotides) under uncultured bacterium. Its description in RNAcentral is "partial 16S ribosomal RNA". It matches the Rfam family "Bacterial small subunit ribosomal RNA", at positions 28 to 507 of the family's 1533-position model. The record is from RNAcentral.
GACGAACGCUGGCGGCGUGCUUAACACAUGCAAGUCGAACGGAAAGGCCCUGCUUUUGUGGGGUGCUCGAGUGGCGAACGGGGGAGUAACACGUGAGUAACCUGCCCUUGACUUUGGGAUAACUUCAGGAAACUGGGGCUAAUACCGGAUAGGAGCUCCUGCUGCAUGGGGGGGGUUGGAAAGUUUCGGCGGUUGGGGAUGGACUCGCGGCUUAUCAGCUUGUUGGUGGGGUAGUGGAUUACCAAGGCUUUGACGGGUAGCCGGCCUGGGAGGGUGGCCGGCCACAUGGGGACUGCGGUACGGCCCAGACUCCUACGGGAGGCAGCAGUGGGGAGUAUUGCACAAUGGGCGGGAGCCUGAUGCAGCAGCGCCGCGUGCGGGAUGACGGCCUUCGGGUUGUAAACCGCUUUCGCCUGUGACGAAGCGUGAGUGACGGUAAUGAGUAAAGAAGCACCGGCUAACUACGUG